AUCUUAUCAAGAGUAGGUGGAGGGACUAGCCCGAUGAUACCCGGCAACCGGCGAAUACGCACGGUGCUAAUUCUUGCAGUCGUCUGAUCUUAUUUAUUAAGGGUACAGACGAAUUGAGAGAUGAGAG
This 127-nucleotide non-coding RNA is filed under the name Paenibacillus sp. Its description in RNAcentral is "SAM-I sequence". It matches the Rfam family "SAM riboswitch aptamer (S box leader)". Rfam says of the family: The SAM riboswitch is found upstream of a number of genes which code for proteins involved in methionine or cysteine biosynthesis in Gram-positive bacteria. The SAM riboswitch acts at the level of transcription termination control. The predicted structure consists of a complex stem-loop region followed by a single stem loop terminator region. Lineage: Bacteria; Bacillati; Bacillota; Bacilli; Caryophanales; Paenibacillaceae. RNAcentral also lists the same sequence under 1 other name. The record is from RNAcentral.